Molecule: ribosomal RNA, 466 nt
Filed under: uncultured bacterium
Lineage: Bacteria
Description: partial 16S ribosomal RNA
Rfam family: Bacterial small subunit ribosomal RNA
Source: RNAcentral
GACGAACGCUGGCGGCGCGCCUAACACAUGCAAGUCGAACGAGCGAGAGGAGGUUUACUUUCUCAAGCGAGUGGCGAACGGGUGAGUAACGCGUGAGGAACCUGCUUCAAAGAGGGGGACAACAGUUGGAAACGACUGCUAAUACCGCAUAAGCCCACGACCCGGCAUCGGGUAGAGGGAAAAGGAGCAAUCCGCUUUGAGAUGGCCUCGCGUCCGAUUAGCUAGUUGGUGAGGUAAUGGCCCACCAAGGCGACGAUCGGUAGCCGGACUGAGAGGUUGAACGGCCACAUUGGGACUGAGACACGGCCCAGACUCCUACGGGAGGCAGCAGUGGGGAAUAUUGCACAAUGGGGGAAACCCUGAUGCAGCGACGCCGCGUGGAGGAAGAAGGUCUUCGGAUUGUAAACUCCUGUUGUUGAGGAAGAUAAUGACGGUACUCAACAAGGAAGUGACGGCUAACUACGUG